AUUGAACGCUGGCGGCAUGCCUUACACAUGCAAGUCGAACGGUAACGGGCCUUCGGGUGCCGACGAGUGGCGAACGGGUGAGUAAUAUAUCGGAACGUACCUUUCAGUGGGGGAUAACGUAGCGAAAGUUACGCUAAUACCGCAUAUUCUGUGCGCAGGAAAGCAGGGGACCUUCGGGCCUUGCGCUGAUUGAGCGGCCGAUAUCAGAUUAGCUAGUUGGUGAGGUAAAGGCUCACCAAGGGCGACGAUCUGUAGCGGGUCUGAGAGGAUGAUCCGCCACACUGGAACUGAGACACGGUCCAGACACCUACGGGAGGCUG
RNAcentral lists this ribosomal RNA (320 nucleotides) under uncultured Pseudomonadota bacterium. RNAcentral's name for it is "bacterial SSU rRNA". It matches the Rfam family "Bacterial small subunit ribosomal RNA", at positions 30 to 351 of the family's 1533-position model. The record is from RNAcentral. Lineage: Bacteria; Pseudomonadati; Pseudomonadota.